Molecule: long non-coding RNA, 1186 nt
Filed under: Heterocephalus glaber (naked mole-rat)
Lineage: Eukaryota; Metazoa; Chordata; Mammalia; Rodentia; Bathyergidae
Description: lncRNA (ENSHGLG00100036486.1)
Source: RNAcentral
GGUUGCUGCAGGCGGAGGACCUGUGGCCUCGUGGUGAUGAGUACAAGGGGGCGGGUGGAGGAGACAUUUACGAGCUGGAAUCAGUGGGGUUUUGAAGGAUUGAUGGGAUGCGAGGCUGGUGAGGACUGCAGAAGGCAUCGGGUUUUGACUUGAGCAACUCCCGCUGGCAGCCAUCCUGAGGAAGAGCUCUGUGCAACCCGGGUGAGGAGCAGCCAGACAGUCACUGCGGGGACCCCUCAGAGUGCCGAGGUGGCCUGGGCUCCUGCUUUCACAGAGCAAAGAGUGCAAAGAGAAGGUCCGCUUUUGGAAAGUUUCUCCUUCAGCAAACACCUAACUAUUGCCGACUUCACUAAGUCCCACUGGGCUUUUCACAGUUGUGGGCCACGUCAGCCCCACCCUUGAAGACCACAAACCCUAAGAAUUUAAGAGCUUUUGGAAACAGCAACCUCAUGGCAUUCCUGAGAAAAAGAUGUCAUACAUGCACUCCAAAAAGUAUACCAACUCAUGCAGACUCUAGAUAUUUUGCAAGACAAGAAGUUUAAUGUAGAAAACAUCGUGAUAGGCUUAGAAGAUUCCACACACCCACAUUCUUAUAAAAAGCUUGUGUGCUAGAAACGAGACAAAACAAGACAGAGCCACUCUUCAGGUAAUGCUCUACUUUCAGUUUCCUGUCUCAUAAAUUUUCUUUCCUUAAAGUUUCAAGGACCCUGAAUUUGCUAGCCUUUUAUUAAAUAUUUACUACAGAUAUGCUGAUAAUGUGAAUUUAUUAUUGGAUUUUACUUGUUCUCACAUUAAAACCCCUAUACUUUUUACGAGUUCAAGUAGCAUACUACUUCAGAUAACACAUCACAAAUCUUUAGCAAGUUAUGGAAAUGGAGAGGGCAUCAAAUUAUUUCAGAAGUAGUGUUUCUUUUGCCUGUAAUGAGAUGUUUCUUCCUUCAUUUUCAGGGAGAAAAAAGAGGAUGAUUUGCUAAGAAAUAAUAGACUGAACACAAGUGAACAAGAGCCAGGAAGAUGAAUUGAAUUUUGCUCAAGGUCAGGCAAACCCCUGAGAAAUCUGUGAGUUCUGCCUUUGGAGAACAGAUCCACCCUCCCCUACCAGGCCAUCAGGUGAGGUGACACGUUCAGCUUGGCCUCAGGCUAAAACCGUAACAAACAGUGCCAUCUACUGACUGUCUUCUACCAC